Molecule: unclassified non-coding RNA, 344 nt
Filed under: soil metagenome
Description: partial contains 5.8S ribosomal RNA, internal transcribed spacer 2, and large subunit ribosomal RNA
Rfam family: 5.8S ribosomal RNA (bases 1-120)
Source: RNAcentral
GAUGAAGAAGUAGCGAAAUGCGAUAAGUAAUGCGAAUUGCAGAAUUUCCGUGAGUCAUCGAAUCUUUGAACGCACAUUGCGCCCACUGGUAUUCCGGUGGGCAUGCCUGUUCGAGCGUCAUUAUCCUCCCUCAAACCCCGGGUUUGGUGUUGGACCCAAGUUGUGUGAACAACUGGUCUUAAAGACAAUGACGGCGUCCGUGGGACCCUCGGUGCAACGAGCUUUUAGGAGCACGCAUCGAGUUGCAAGGACCUUCCGGGCCGGUCUCCUUUACUAUUUUACAAGGUUGACCUCGGAUCAGGUAGGAAUACCCGCUGAACUUAAGCAUAUCAAUAAGCGGAGGA